This 72-nucleotide transfer RNA is filed under the name Camelus bactrianus (Bactrian camel). It matches the Rfam family "tRNA". Rfam says of the family: Transfer RNA (tRNA) molecules are approximately 80 nucleotides in length. Their secondary structure includes four short double-helical elements and three loops (D, anti-codon, and T loops). The record is from Rfam by way of RNAcentral. Lineage: Eukaryota; Metazoa; Chordata; Mammalia; Artiodactyla; Camelidae. RNAcentral also lists the same sequence under 1 other name.
GAGGGUAUAGCUUAGUGGUAGAGUGCCUGCCUAGCAUGCACAAGGUCCUGGGUUCAAUCCCCAGUACCUCCA